This 87-nucleotide transfer RNA is filed under the name Cucumis melo (muskmelon). It matches the Rfam family "tRNA". Rfam says of the family: Transfer RNA (tRNA) molecules are approximately 80 nucleotides in length. RNAcentral also lists the same sequence under 1 other name. Lineage: Eukaryota; Viridiplantae; Streptophyta; Magnoliopsida; Cucurbitales; Cucurbitaceae. The record is from Rfam by way of RNAcentral.
CCGACCUUAGCUUAGUUGGUAGAACGGAGGACUUUAUUUUGUUGGCAGAUAAUCCUUAGGUCGCUGUUUUGAAUCCGGCUGGUUGGA